UACGUAGGGGGCGAGCGUUGUCCGGAGUUACUGGGCGUAAAGGGCAUGCAGGCGGUCCGACACGUUUUGUGUGACAGCGGGUGGCUUAACUACCCGAGGAUGCAAAAGACGGUAGGACUUGAGGACUCGAGAGGGACACGGAAUUCCGGGUGGAGUGGUGAAAUGCGUAGAGAUCCGGAGGAACACCGAAGGCGAAGGCAGUGUCCUGGCGAGUGACUGACGCUGAGGUGCGAAAGCCAGGGGAGCGAACGGG
RNAcentral lists this ribosomal RNA (253 nucleotides) under uncultured bacterium. RNAcentral's name for it is "partial 16S ribosomal RNA". It matches the Rfam family "Bacterial small subunit ribosomal RNA", at positions 524 to 776 of the family's 1533-position model. The record is from RNAcentral.